Molecule: ribosomal RNA, 308 nt
Filed under: uncultured eukaryote
Lineage: Eukaryota
Description: partial 18S ribosomal RNA
Rfam family: Eukaryotic small subunit ribosomal RNA
Source: RNAcentral
CCCUUAGACGUUCUGGGCCGCACGCGCGCUACACUGACGAAGGCAACGAGCUUUCCUUUACCGAAAGGUACGGGUAAUCUUUUGAAACUUCGUCGUGCUGGGGAUAGAUCCUUGCAAUUAUUGAUCUUAAACGAGGAAUUCCUAGUAAGCGCAAGUCAUCAACUUGCGUUGAUUACGUCCCUGCCCUUUGUACACACCGCCCGUCGCUACUACCGAUUGAAUGGUUUAGUGAGGCCUUCGGAUCCGCGACUCGUUUUGUGGAGAAGUUGGACAAACUCAGUCAUUUAGAGGAAGCAAAAGUCGUAACA